Molecule: long non-coding RNA, 943 nt
Filed under: Hordeum vulgare
Lineage: Eukaryota; Viridiplantae; Streptophyta; Magnoliopsida; Poales; Poaceae
Description: long non-coding RNA (HVUL_LNC012056)
Source: RNAcentral
UGGGGGAGAGGAAAACGAGAGGCAAAUAAUGUAAAUGCAAGAGAUGAGUUUGUGAUAGGUACUUGGUAGAUAUGCUUCACUUGAAUACUCCCCGGCAACGGCGCGAGAAAUUCUUCUUGCUACUUCUUGAGCUUGCGUUGGUUUUUCCCUUGAAGAGGAAAGGCUGAUGAAGAAAAGUAGAGAUAAGUAUUUCCCUCAGUUUGAGAACCAAGGUAUCAAUCCAGUAGGAGUAUCAAGAUGAGGCACCAAUGAACCUGCGCAAAAACAAACAAACUUACACCCAACGCGAUAAAGGGGUUGUCAAUCCCUUCACGAUUACUUGCAAGGUGAGAUCUGAUAGUGAUGAAAGGUAAAUAUAAAGAAAAGUGCAGCAAGGUAUUUUUGGUAUUUUUCUAUGUAGAUCUGAAUAUAUAAUGUGUAAGAUAGACCCGGGGGCCAUAGUGUUCACUAGAGGCUUCUGUCAUGAUAGCAAGUAUUACGGUGGGUGAACAAAUUACUGUCGAGCAAUUGAUACAAUGGCACAAAGUCAUGACGAUAUCUAAGGCAAUGAUCAUACAUAUAGCCAUCACGUCCGAGACAAGUAGGCCGAUACUUUCUGCAUCUACUACUAUUACUCCACACAUCGACCGCUAUCCAACAUGUAUCUAGUGUAUCAAGUUCAUAACAAACGGAGUAACGCCUUAAGCAAGAUGACAUGAUGUAGAGGGAUAAAUUCAUGCAAUAUGAUAUAAACCCCAUGUUUUUACCCUUGAUGGCAACAACAUGAUGCGUGCCUCGCUACCCCUUCUGUCACUAGGUGAGGACACCGCACGGUAUGAACCCAAAACGAAGCACUUCUCCCAUUGCAAGAAUUAUAGAUCAAGUUGGCCAAACGAAACCCAUAACUCGAAGAGAAUUACAAGGAUAUGAAAUUAUGCAUAUAAGAAAUCAGAGGAGACUCAAA